RNAcentral lists this small nuclear RNA (184 nucleotides) under Zea mays. RNAcentral's name for it is "U2 spliceosomal RNA". It matches the Rfam family "U2 spliceosomal RNA". Rfam says of the family: U2 is a small nuclear RNA (snRNA) component of the spliceosome (involved in pre-mRNA splicing). The record is from Rfam by way of RNAcentral. Lineage: Eukaryota; Viridiplantae; Streptophyta; Magnoliopsida; Poales; Poaceae.
AUAACUUUCUUAGCCUUUUGGCAAAGAUAAAAUAUAAUAUUUGUUCUUAUCUGUUUAAUAUCUGAUAUGUGUACCAUACGUUCACUUUGAUAUUAAAAUUAUUCUUUAUGGGUAUAAACUAUGAUUGUGUGAUGACGCAGCGCACGAGCAUUGUACUAGUGGUGCUCAACACGUGGCAACCAGC